GUGUUAGCUAGGCUUCCUCCAAGGUAUUAAUAGUUACCACUAGCUGACUAUUCACUUGAGGAGACUGAGAUCAGAGAGAUUAGUGACUGCCAUGCUCAGAGGGAGGGCGCAGGGUCUCACUCACCAGAGACACUCUGCAUCAUUGUAGACAGUUGUGUUCCGGCUUGGCCACGCCCCUCCUACUGGGAACUAGGCAGAGGGUGCCUGAGCCUUGACUCUGUUGACCCCUCGUGUUUUCCCCUUGGCUCGUGAAGCAAAGGAUGGAGCUUUCAGAUAGGGCCCCCCUGCAUCAGAGCCAUACCCCCAGGCCCGUGAGCCUGUCUUAUGGGACUUCAAGAAGAUGUCACCAAGAAUAACGAAUCAGUCAGUAUCAUUCUUGAAUGGCCCACACUGCAUCCAAUUCAAACUACUCACCUGUUUCC
This is a long non-coding RNA of Bos taurus (domestic cattle), 422 nucleotides long. The record is from Ensembl. Lineage: Eukaryota; Metazoa; Chordata; Mammalia; Artiodactyla; Bovidae.